This 368-nucleotide long non-coding RNA is filed under the name Nicotiana tabacum (common tobacco). RNAcentral's name for it is "long non-coding RNA (NTAB_LNC016230)". The record is from RNAcentral. Lineage: Eukaryota; Viridiplantae; Streptophyta; Magnoliopsida; Solanales; Solanaceae.
AGUUCUCAACAGCCGAGAAGCCCAAGAUCUGCGCAGACGAGAAGCCCCAGAUCUUAGCGGACGAGGAGCCCCAGGUUUCGACAGCCGAGAAUCCCCAGAUCUUGGAGGACGAGAAGCCCCCUGUUUCCAAAGAUGAGAAGUCCUUGGUCUCUGAAGAUGAAAAGCCCCCGGUUUCCGAAGACGAAAAGCCCCCGGUUUCCGAAGACGAGAUGCCCCUGGUUUCUGAUGACGAGAAGCCCCUGGUUUCUGAAAAUGAGAAGCCACGCAUCUCAUUAGACAAGAAGCCCCGUGUCUCAACAGAUGAGAAACCCAUACCCUUAUCCGUGGUGGAUGCAACACUAUCAGAGCCAGUAACAUCUAGAGUCAAU